UACGAAGGGGGCGAGCGUUGUUCGGAUUUACUGGGCGUAAAGGGCGCGUAGGCGGCGCGAGAAGUCGAGUGUGAAAGCCCCGGGCUCAACUGGGGAGGGUCAUUCGAUACUGAUCGACUCGAAGGCAGGAGAGGGUAGUGGAAUUCCCGGUGUAGUGGUGAAAUGCGUAGAUAUCGGGAGGAACACCAGUGGCGAAGGCGACUACCUGGCCUGUUCUUGACGCUGAGGCGCGAAAGCUAGGGGAGCAAACGGG
This 253-nucleotide ribosomal RNA is filed under the name uncultured bacterium. RNAcentral's name for it is "partial 16S ribosomal RNA". It matches the Rfam family "Bacterial small subunit ribosomal RNA", at positions 524 to 776 of the family's 1533-position model. The record is from RNAcentral.